AACGCACAUUGCGCCCCUUGGUAUUCCAUGGGGCAUGCCUGUUCGAGCGUCAUUUGUACCCUCAAGCUCAGUCUUGGUGUUGGGUGUUUGUCCUGCCCUCGUGGCGGACUCGCCUUAAAGUGAUUGGCAGCCGGAAUAAAUCUGGGGAACGCAGCACAACUGCAGCCUCUAGUCUUAUACGCCGAGCGUCCAACAAGCCUUUUAUUCUUGCGUUUGACCUCGGAUCAGGUAGGGAUACCCGCUGAACUUAA
Molecule: unclassified non-coding RNA, 251 nt
Filed under: uncultured Pleosporales
Lineage: Eukaryota; Fungi; Ascomycota; Dothideomycetes; Pleosporales
Also listed under: 1 other name
Description: sequence contains ITS2
Source: RNAcentral